AUGGCGAACCUCGAGUCGUUAGCCUCACUCGCCGCCAUCGUCGUCCUCAUCCUCCUUGAAGCCGCUGUCCUGUCCUCGUUCGCGGCCGCGCAGCUGCGGCCGGACUACUACGCCAGCGUCAGCCCCAACCUGGAGGGCAUUGUCCGGUACUCCGUGAAGCAGUCCAUGGCCAAGUCCCCCAUCUCCGCGCCCGCCACCCUCAGGCUCUUCUUCCACGACUGCGCCGUCAUGGGCUGUGACAAAUCGGUCAUGACCAUCAGCCCGACCGGCAACGACGAGUGGCGGAACCAGGACGACUAUUCGCUGAAGCCUGAGGGCUUCCAGACGAUCCUGGACGCCAAGGCCGCUGUGGACAGCGACCCACGGUGCCGUUAUAAGGUGUCCUGCGCCGACAUAAUCGCCCUUGCCACAAGAGAGUCCGUCUCCCAGCUGAGGCCGGACUACUACGCCGGCGUCUGCCCCAACCUGGAGGGCUUUGUCCGGAGCUCCGUGAAGCAGUCCAUGGUGAAGUCCCCCAUCUCCGCCCCCGCCACCCUCAGGCUCUUCUUCCACGACUGCGCCACCACGGGCUGUGACGCGUCGGUCAUGAUCAUCGGUUCGACCGGAGACGACGAGAACCCCGACAGAUAUUCGCUGAAGCUGGAGGGCUUCCAGACAAUCCUCGACGCCAAGGCCGCCGUGGACAGCGACCCGCAGUGCCGUUACAAGGUGUCCUGCGCCGACAUAAUCGCCCUCGCCACAAGAGAGUCCGUCUCCCAGAGCGGAGGGCCGAACUACACGGUGGAGCUGGGCAGGUACGACGGGAGAAAGUCGACGGACAGAAGUGUCAGGCUGCCGCACCCCAGCGACAACCUGGACAGCCUCAACGCCUUCUUCUCAACCUUGGGCCUCUCCCAGACCGACAUGAUCGCACUAUCAGGUGGCCACACCUUGGGCGCGGCAGACUGCGACUUCUUCAAGUACAGGACUGGUGGCAACGACCAGAGCAUGAACCCGAGCUUCGACGCGCAGCUCCAAGGCACAUGUGCCAAACAGAACUUCGCGUUCCUGGAUGACGUGACACCGAUAGGGUUCGACAACUUGUACUACCGGAACCUGCAAAACGGCAGGGGGCUCCUGGGAUCCGACCAGGUGCUGUACACGGAUGAGAGGUCCCGUGGCACCGUGGACUUCUACGCGGCCAACCAGGGCACCUUCUUCUCCGACUUCGCCAUUGCCAUGACGAAGCUCGGCAGGGUCGGGGUCAAGACGGCCGCUGAUGGCGAGAUACGCCGUGACUGCCGGUACCCAAACUAA
RNAcentral lists this ribosomal RNA (1296 nucleotides) under Triticum aestivum (bread wheat). RNAcentral's name for it is "partial small subunit ribosomal RNA". The record is from RNAcentral. Lineage: Eukaryota; Viridiplantae; Streptophyta; Magnoliopsida; Poales; Poaceae.